Molecule: long non-coding RNA, 1087 nt
Filed under: Gossypium barbadense (sea-island cotton)
Lineage: Eukaryota; Viridiplantae; Streptophyta; Magnoliopsida; Malvales; Malvaceae
Description: long non-coding RNA (GBAR_LNC015380)
Source: RNAcentral
GAAUGAAUCAUGACCAACAACUUUCCAUCUCCACAAUUCAUGACCGACCAUGGGAAAGAAAAACCUAAGGGAUUUCAAAGCUAUUUUUAGUAAACCUAUUAGUCAUCCAUCCACUAUAAAUACUACCAUUUACGUCCCUCAUCCAUCAUUCUUCACUUUACAUUCUCUUCUCUCAUUUCAUUUUCCUCUUCUUUUCACGCAUAGCCAUUCCCAUUUUCCCUUUCCCUUAGCUAGCAAUUCCUUGAGAAAAUACUCUCUUGGUCGGCCACCUUGGGGGGCACUUUAUGAAUGAGCAAACACAAGGAUUGGAGGAAGCCACUACGAUCGAUUUCCAGAGGACUGCCAAAUCAAUCAGAGUUUAUUCUUCAUUGUCUUUGUUUUACUUUUAUUAAUCAUGUUUGCAAUUUGUUCUGUUGUUUUUUCAUCAUCAAUGGUAUCUUAAUUUUGUUUAGCUAGAAUAAUUACAUCUAUUUGAUGAAGUUCUUUUGAUUCAUGUUCAUGGUGUUUUGUGCCUCAAUCGAUCAUGCUUUCAAUUAAAAUCAUGCAUGUAUUUCAUUCAUUAAAACGUGACUAAAUGCAUUAGAAUUAAUUGCUUAAUCCGAACCUGAUGAUGAUUAAUGGACACAAUAAUUGAAAGGUGCAUGCUUAAUUUGUAUCCGACCUAGAAUAAAUUAAGGUUUGUAAUAACUUGAACGAGCUCUAUUACCUUGCAUAGCUUUUAGGUUUAUGUGAUUAAAUUAUUUCAAACCGACUCAGUCCUUGUGACUUCACAUGAAAUCUAAGAAACCCUUAAUUAAAUAUGAUCAUGAUAGUAUGCAUAUUUUUCUAAGUAAAAGAUUUUGAAAGGACUUAAUAUUGGCUUCAAGUUCAUGAAAGAUCAAGGAGUCAUAGAAUAUUUUCCAGAACAGUAUUAAACAUGAUGAAAAUGAAUUAAGUCAAUUGAUGUGAUUAUUCUAGCCUAUUCAAGUUAUUGUUGUUGAAGCUUAUGAAUUGUUGCUAAAUUCAUCUCAUACAUUUUAUUGCAUACAUUACAUUUAGGAUUAAUUUGCAUUGGAGAUCAUUUUGCAUCUAGAUAAUUAUUUUUCUU